This 279-nucleotide ribosomal RNA is filed under the name uncultured bacterium. RNAcentral describes it as "partial 16S ribosomal RNA". It matches the Rfam family "Bacterial small subunit ribosomal RNA", at positions 506 to 784 of the family's 1533-position model. The record is from RNAcentral.
UGCCAGCAGCCGCGGUAAUACGUAAGGGGCAAGCGUUACCCGGAAUUAUUGGGCGUAAAGCGUCCGCAGGUGGUUUGGUAAGUCUGUUAUUAAAUUUCGGAGCUCAACUUCGAAGCCGUAAUGGAAACUACUAAACUAGAGGUAUGGAGAGGUGUGUGGAAUUGUACAAGUAGGGGUAAAAUUCGUAGAUAUGUACAGGAACACCAAAAGCGAAGGCAGCACACUGGCCAUUACCUGACACUCAGGGACGAAAGCGUAGGUAGCAAAACGGAUUAGAUA